This 466-nucleotide ribosomal RNA is filed under the name uncultured bacterium. RNAcentral's name for it is "bacterial SSU rRNA". It matches the Rfam family "Bacterial small subunit ribosomal RNA", at positions 29 to 524 of the family's 1533-position model. The record is from RNAcentral.
AACGAACGCUGGCGGCAGGCCUAACACAUGCAAGUCGAACGAGUAAGAGCCGUAGCAAUACGGAGUUCUGCUAGUGGCGCACGGGUGAGUAACGCGUGGGAACGUGCCUUGGAGUUCGGGAUAACAGUUGGAAACGACUGCUAAUACCGAAUAUUCCCUCAGGGGAAAGAUUUAUCGCUCCAAGAUCGGCCCGCGUAAGAUUAGGUAGUUGGUGGGGUAAUGGCCUACCAAGCCUACGAUCUUUAGCUGGUCUGAGAGGACGACCAGCCACACUGGAACUGAGACACGGUCCAGACUCCUACGGGAGGCAGCAGUGGGGAAUAUUGGACAAUGGGCGAAAGCCUGAUCCAGCCAUGCCGCGUGAAUGAUGAAGGCCUUAGGGUUGUAAAAUUCUUUUGCAGGGGAAGAUAAUGACGGUACCCUGCGAAUAAGCUCCGGCUAACUUCGUGCCAGCAGCCGCGGUAAU